Molecule: non-coding RNA, 159 nt
Filed under: Chlorocebus sabaeus (green monkey)
Lineage: Eukaryota; Metazoa; Chordata; Mammalia; Primates; Cercopithecidae
Source: Rfam by way of RNAcentral
GUUGGGUGUGGUGGUGCAUUCCUGUAGUCCCAGCUACUUGGGAGGCUGAGGUGGGAGGAUUGCUUGAGCCCAGGAGUUGAAGGCCACAGUGGGUCAUGAGUAUGCCUCUGAGCAGCCACUGCAUUUCAGCCUGGGCAACACAGUGAGAUCCCAACUCUU